This 86-nucleotide transfer RNA is filed under the name Candidimonas sp. Its description in RNAcentral is "tRNA-Leu". It matches the Rfam family "tRNA". Rfam says of the family: Transfer RNA (tRNA) molecules are approximately 80 nucleotides in length. Their secondary structure includes four short double-helical elements and three loops (D, anti-codon, and T loops). Further hydrogen bonds mediate the characteristic L-shaped molecular structure. tRNAs have two regions of fundamental functional importance: the anti-codon, which is responsible for specific mRNA codon recognition, and the 3' end, to which the tRNAs corresponding amino acid is attached (by aminoacyl-tRNA synthetases). tRNAs cope with the degeneracy of the genetic code in two manners: having more than one tRNA (with a specific anti-codon) for a particular amino acid; and 'wobble' base-pairing, i.e. permitting non-standard base-pairing at the 3rd anti-codon position. Lineage: Bacteria; Pseudomonadati; Pseudomonadota; Betaproteobacteria; Burkholderiales; Alcaligenaceae. The record is from RNAcentral.
GCCGACGUGGUGGAAUUUGGUAGACACGCUAUCUUGAGGGGGUAGUGGCGAAAGCCGUACGAGUUCGAGUCUCGUCGUCGGCACCA